AGUAACGCGUGGGUAAUCUACCUUCGAAUUUGGGAUAACACCCCGAAAGGGGUGCUAAUACCGGAUAAUAUCCUUUUAACUUAGGUUAAAGAGAUCAAAGACAGCCUCUACAUGUAAGCUGUUGUUUGGAGAUGAGACCGCGUACCAUUAGCUUGUUGGUAGGGUAACGGCCUACCAAGGCGACGAUGGUUAGCUGGUCUGAGAGGAUGAUCAGCCACACUGGAACUGACACACGGUCCAG
This 241-nucleotide ribosomal RNA is filed under the name uncultured bacterium. Its description in RNAcentral is "partial 16S ribosomal RNA". It matches the Rfam family "Bacterial small subunit ribosomal RNA", at positions 109 to 334 of the family's 1533-position model. The record is from RNAcentral.